ACGGGUGAGUAACACGUAUCCAACCUGCCGUCUACUCUUGGACAGCCUUCUGAAAGGAAGAUUAAUACAAGAUGGCAUCAUGAGUCCGCAUGUUCACAUGAUUAAAGGUAUUCCGGUAGACGAUGGGGAUGCGUUCCAUUAGAUAGUAGGCGGGGUAACGGCCCACCUAGCCUUCGAUGGAUAGGGGUUCUGAGAGGAAGGUCCCCCACAUUGGAACUGAGACACGGUCCAA
Molecule: ribosomal RNA, 232 nt
Filed under: uncultured bacterium
Lineage: Bacteria
Description: partial 16S ribosomal RNA
Rfam family: Bacterial small subunit ribosomal RNA
Source: RNAcentral